CCUACGGGUGGCUGCAGUGGGGAAUAUUGCACAAUGGGGGAAACCCUGAUGCAGCGACGCCGCGUGAGUGAAGAAGCGCCUCGGCGCGUAAAGCUCUGUCAGCAGGAACGACGAUGACGGUACCUGAAGAAGAAGCCCCGGCUAACUACGUGCCAGCAGCCGCGGUAAUACGUAGGGGGCGAGCGUUAUCCGGAUUCACUGGGUGUAAAGGGAGCGUAGACGGCCAUGCAAGCCAGGGGUGAAAGCCCGGGGCCCAACCCCGGGACUGCCCUUGGAACUGCAUGGCUGGAGUGCGGGAGGGGCAGGCGGAAUUCCUGGUGUAGCGGUGAAAUGCGUAGAUAUCAGGAGGAACACCGGCGGCGAAGGCGGCCUGCUGGACCGCGACUGACGUUGAGGCUCGAAAGCGUGGGGAGCGAACAGGAUUAGAUACCCGAGUAGUC
This 440-nucleotide ribosomal RNA is filed under the name uncultured bacterium. Its description in RNAcentral is "partial 16S ribosomal RNA". It matches the Rfam family "Bacterial small subunit ribosomal RNA", at positions 338 to 795 of the family's 1533-position model. The record is from RNAcentral.